GACGAACGCUGGCGGCGUGCUUAACACAUGCAAGUCGAACGGAAAGGCCUCGUUCGGGGGGUCCUCGCGUGUCGAACGGGUGUGUAACACGCGUGUGACCUGCCCUUGUCUUUGUGAUAUCUUCUGGAAACUGGGGCUAUUAUCGGAUAUAAGCUCCUGCGGCAUGGUGUGGGGUGGCAAGUUUUUGCGGUUGGGGAUGGGGACGCGGCUUAUAAGCUUGUGGGGGGGGUAUUGGCUUACCAAAGCGUUGACGGGUAGCCGGCCUGAGAGGGUGACCGGCCACAGUGGGACUGAGAUACGGCCCAGACUCCUACGGGGGGCAGCAGUGGGGGAGAUUGCACAAGGGGUGGAAGCCUGAUGCAGCAACGCCGUGGGCGGGAUGACGGCCUUCGGGUUGGAAACCGCUUUCGCUCAUGACGAAGCUGUGUGUGACGGUAGUGGGUAAAGAAGCACCGGCUAACUACGUG
This 467-nucleotide ribosomal RNA is filed under the name uncultured bacterium. RNAcentral describes it as "partial 16S ribosomal RNA". It matches the Rfam family "Bacterial small subunit ribosomal RNA", at positions 28 to 507 of the family's 1533-position model. The record is from RNAcentral.